Molecule: non-coding RNA, 148 nt
Filed under: Nomascus leucogenys (northern white-cheeked gibbon)
Lineage: Eukaryota; Metazoa; Chordata; Mammalia; Primates; Hylobatidae
Source: Rfam by way of RNAcentral
GCCGGGCGUGGUGGCGGGCGCCUGUAGUCCCAGCUACUCGGGAGGCUGAGGCAGGAGAAUUGCUUGAACCCGGGAGGCAGAGAUUGUAGUGAGCCGAGAUCACACCACUGCACUCUAGCCUGGGUGACAAAGCAAGACUCCGUCUCAG